CUGUUGAUCCUGCCGGACCCGACUGCUAUCAGAGUGGGACUAAGCCAUGCGAGUCAACGUAGCAAUGCGUGGCGAACGGCUCAGUAUCACGUAGUCAACAUGCCCAGGGGACGUGGAUAACCUCGGGAAACUGAGAUUAAACCGCGACAGGUCAAGAUUUCUGGAAUGGAUCGUGUCUUAAAUCUACAUGGCCCCUGGAUUGGACUGCGGCCGAUCAGGCUGUUGGUGAGGUAAUGGCCCACCAAACCUAUAACCGGUACGGGCUCUGAGAGGAGAAGCCCGGAGAUGGGCACUGAGACAAGGGCCCAGGCCCUAUGGGGCGCAGCAGGCGCGAAACCUCUGCAAUGGGCGAAAGCCUGACAGGGUUACUCUGAGUGAUUUCCGCUAAGGAGAUCUUUUGGCAGCUCUAAAAAUGGUGCAGAAUAAGGGGUGGGCAAGUCUGGUGUCAGCCGCCGCGGUAAUACCAGCACCCCGAGUGGUCGGGACGAUUAUUGGGCCUAAAGCAUCCGUAGCCGGUUGUGCAAGUCCUCCGUUAAAUCCAGCCGCUCAACGGAUGGGCUGCGGAGGAUACUACAGAACUAGGAGGCGGGAGAGGCAAGCGGUACUUAGUGGGUAGGGGUAAAAUCCUUUGAUCCAUUGAAGACCACCAGUGGCGAAGGCGGCUUGCCAGAACGCGCUCGACGGUGAGGGAUGAAAGCUGGGGGAGCAAACCGGAUUAGAUACCCGGGUAGUCCCAGCUGUAAACGAUGCAGACUCGGUGAUGGGCUAGCCUCGUGUCAGCCCAGUGCCGCAGGGAAGCCGUUAAGUCUGCCGCCUGGGGAGUACGGUCGCAAGACUGAAACUUAAAGGAAUUGGCGGGGGAGCACCACAAGGGGGUGAAGCCUGCGGUUCAAUUGGACUCCACGCCGGGGAA
This 913-nucleotide ribosomal RNA is filed under the name uncultured archaeon. RNAcentral's name for it is "bacterial SSU rRNA". It matches the Rfam family "Archaeal small subunit ribosomal RNA", at positions 5 to 925 of the family's 1478-position model. The record is from RNAcentral.